GUUUUGUAUUGCUUGUUUUAGCAGGAGAAUAAUGUUUCCUAACAGGAAGACAACAGAAGAGAGCUGCAUCACCAAACUGCUUUGUGAUGAAAGUUUAGCCCUUCUCUUCUUUUUUCCAUCUUUUUGUUUUGAUGUUUGAAAGAAGAUCAUUUGUUUUCGAGAGUCCUGCCAUCAAGAAAAUGAAUUUCCAGGAGGUUGGAGCGUAGCAUACCCUAUGAAAUGCCUUGCCUUUUAUUUCAACUUGAAUUGAACUAAGUACUUUGCAGAAAUGCUUUUGGGGUGAGAGUCUUUGGCUCAGCUGUUUUUCUUUCUUCUUUCUGUCGUUGUGGUUGUUGUUGUUCUCGUGCUUUUCACUCAUUUUUUUCUCUCCAUUUGAUGUUUGCUUUCCAAAGGGAACGAUAUUGAACACCAUGCUUUAUGGUGGUUUGCCUUUAGUUUAUAUAUACUUCAACACCCACAUGUUUUCUUUUUCUGAUAAACCAUACUGGAUUACACAUGGUGAGGAUUUGGGUUCCUCAACGCGCAUGUCCAAUGUAAACUGGAUAUAAUGCAUUCAAAUCCUUUUCACUGUCUCUGAAGCCUAUUUGUCAUGUAGGAUUCAUCAGUAUUCUGUCCUGAACCAGUGCUACUGUUCAUAACAGAGCAGCAGUUUAACCAGGAAGAUAUUAAACACCCAUGCUUUUACGGUUGCUUGGUGUUACAUUGAACCCUUCGGCUGUCUAUUUAGUAUUUAUGAAUUAGCGUUAAUGAAUUGAGCAGGCCUGCCACAAUGUGUAUUAUCCACCUGUACAUGGCAAGUGGGGCUGAAAGGAUUUUGUUGAUACUUUGCGUGAAGGGAGACGUUUGGUGCGUUUGUAUUAUACAUGCUUUUUAAAGACACACCUAUCACCUUUUUCCUCAAUGCCAGGGUUUCCCCAACUCAGUCUUGGGGCCUGCCAGGGUGCACGUUUUGGUUUUUGCCCUAGCGCUACACAGCUGAUUCAAAUAAUCAAAGCUUGAUGAUGAGUUGGUUAUUUGAAUCAGCUGUGUAGUGCUGGGGGAAACCAAAGCGUGCACCCAGGGGGGGCCCAGGACCAAGUUGGGGAAACCCUGCUCUAUGCAGUCAACAUGAGUUUUAAAAGAAAUUGUAAACUGUUUUAUGAUCUUGUUUAUGAUACUCUUAAACCAUGUAAACACCAGGCAAAACAAAGAAAUGAGCCAACAUAACAUUGCUGACUGUACACAUUAAUAUUUAUAUAAAUAUCUGUACUGAUUCAUGCUAGCUUUCAAAAUAGUAUAUUUUUAUUUUCGUUAUUGAACAAAAUGACCACUUAUUAUGAGUAAUUUUGCAUUACAGUUUAAUAUAUUGUAAAUAAAUGAUGACUCAGACUGUAAUUGUAUUUUCUCUGUGGGUGUUUGUUUGACAUUUUCUGCAUUGGUGUUUCAGCCUCCAAGCUCCUAUCUGUCUUUUCAUACUUAAAUAUGCACAUUAGAAAAUAGUCUCCCACUUAACAUUUCUGGAGGGCAUACUGUGGUAUUUUUUUUAAUGAAAGGCAAAUAAAAAUAAAUUCUGUUCUCUGA
This is a long non-coding RNA of Oncorhynchus tshawytscha (Chinook salmon), 1560 nucleotides long. NCBI's taxonomy places the organism in Eukaryota, Metazoa, Chordata, Actinopteri, Salmoniformes, Salmonidae. The record is from Ensembl.